Molecule: ribosomal RNA, 530 nt
Filed under: uncultured archaeon
Lineage: Archaea
Description: bacterial SSU rRNA
Rfam family: Archaeal small subunit ribosomal RNA
Source: RNAcentral
UCGCGCAACCUUUGCAAUACACGCAAGUGUGACAGGGCUAUCCCGAGUGCCGUCCGCUGAGGAUGGCUUUUACCCAGUCUAGAAAGCUGGGGGGAAUAAGGAGAGGGCAAGUCUGGUGUCAGCCGCCGCGGUAAUACCAGCUCUCCGAGUGGUGUGGAUGUUUAUUGGGCCUAAAGCAUCCGUAGCUGGCCAAGUUAGUCCCCUGUUAAACCCACCGAAUUAAUCGUUGGCGUGCGGGGGAUACUGCUCGGCUAGGGGACGGGAGAGGCAGACGGUAUUCUCGGGGUAGGGGUGAAAUCCUAUAAUCCCGAGAAGACCACCAGUGGCGAAGGCUGUCUGCUAGAACGCGCCCGACGGUGAGGGAUGAAAGCUGGGGGAGCGAACCGGAUUAGAUACCCGGGUAGUCCCAGCUGUAAACGAUGCAGGCUAGGUGUUUGGACGGCCACGUGCCGUUCUAGUGCCGCAGGGAAGCUGUUAAGCCUGCCGCCUGGGGAGUACGGUCGCGAAGAUUGAAACUUAAAGGAAUUGGC